This 255-nucleotide ribosomal RNA is filed under the name uncultured bacterium. RNAcentral's name for it is "partial 16S ribosomal RNA". It matches the Rfam family "Bacterial small subunit ribosomal RNA", at positions 524 to 776 of the family's 1533-position model. The record is from RNAcentral.
UACAGAGGGUGCAAGCGUUAAUCGGAAUUACUGGGCGUAAAGGGCGCGUAGGCGGCACUGUUAGUCAGGCGUGAAAGUCCUGGGCUCAACCUGGGAACUGCGCUUGAUACGGCAGAGCUAGAGGAUGGAAGAGGCUCGCGGAAUUCCCAGUGUAGAGGUGAAAUUCGUAGAUAUUGGGAAAGAACACCGGUGGCGAAGGCGGCGAGCUGGUCCAUUACUGACGCUGAGGCGCGACAGCGGUGGGGAGCAAACAGG